AAUAGUGUACGUAUCCUGUAUCACAUCCAGAUUGACUUUAGUGUACAUACCCUGUAUCGCAUCCGGGUUGGCUUCAGUAUCUUACUAAAUGAGGGUAUAAACUCUGUCUUGGACUAGAGAUCUUACCUAAUUCUGAUUUUGUAGGCACUCUCUCGCGUAAUGCUAGGCACUUUCGCAUAUGCAGCAAGUGUUGUUGAGGCGAUAGUAGG
This 209-nucleotide long non-coding RNA is filed under the name Carica papaya (papaya). RNAcentral describes it as "long non-coding RNA (CPAP_LNC009785)". Lineage: Eukaryota; Viridiplantae; Streptophyta; Magnoliopsida; Brassicales; Caricaceae. The record is from RNAcentral.